This 433-nucleotide ribosomal RNA is filed under the name uncultured bacterium. RNAcentral's name for it is "partial 16S ribosomal RNA". It matches the Rfam family "Bacterial small subunit ribosomal RNA", at positions 29 to 507 of the family's 1533-position model. The record is from RNAcentral.
AACGAACGCUGGCGGCAUGCCUAACACAUGCAAGUCGAACGAGACCUUCGGGUCUAGUGGCGCACGGGUGCGUAACGCGUGGGAACCUGCCCUUAGGCUCGGAAUAACUCCCCGAAAGGGGUGCUAAUACCGGAUAAUGUCUUCGGACCAAAGAUUUAUCGCCUUUGGAUGGGCCCGCGUUGGAUUAGCUAGUUGGUAGGGUAAAAGCCUACCAAGGCGACGAUCCAUAGCUGGUCUGAGAGGAUGAUCAGCCACACUGGGACUGAGACACGGCCCAGACUCCUACGGGAGGCAGCAGUGGGGAAUAUUGGACAAUGGGCGAAAGCCUGAUCCAGCAAUGCCGCGUGAGUGAUGAAGGCCUUAGGGUUAUAAAGCUCUUUUACCCGGGAUGAUAAUGACAGUACCGGGAGAAUAAGCUCCGGCUAACUCCGUG